This is a long non-coding RNA of Pogona vitticeps (central bearded dragon), 1881 nucleotides long. The record is from Ensembl. Lineage: Eukaryota; Metazoa; Chordata; Lepidosauria; Squamata; Agamidae.
GGGACCCUCUCAACCAUCGCGGGUCCAGCGGUUCUAACCCCGGUAGCUCUCAGCAAAGCUGGAAGGGACCCUCUGAAUCAUCGCCUGUCUGGCGGUUCUAACCCCCGGUAGCUCUCCGGUCUGGGGAGAUCCCCACACAGACACCCCCCAGAAAACCUGGCUUUCCCAACCGGAGGUCUUCCAGAUGUGGGAGACUACGGCUUCCAUCGUCCUCAUCCAGUAUCAGCCAUGAUGGUUCCUCAUGUCUGGAAGCCUCAGGUGGGAAGAGCCUGGAGUCCCAGGUAAAGCAGGCUGGUGUCCUCUGUUGUUGUCCUGUGCGACUCUCUCAGCCCGGGGGCUUCCAUCUCUCUCUUCCUUCCCCCCCCCCUCAUGAAAUAAAUAGGAGGCAAGCAGGGAAGGCGUUGGCAGGAGACCUGUUGGAUCCGUCAGCUUCCCACCUAGCUCCACAUCCACGUUCUCGCAGUGGGCAGGCGGGGGGGCCUCCCGGGAUGUUCAGAAGCACAACCGAGCCUCUUGCCUUUUGUCCUCGACUCUAGCUGCGUUUCACAGAUAGCCUGCCUCUCCCCUUGGAGGCUCCACCGAAUCCUUGUCACAAUGACAUCCUUCAAAAAAUUUUCCCCAGAGCUUCCUCUAAAGAGUUUGCUGGUGGAUUUGGAUGGUGUCCUGUGUCCGUGGAUGGGUGUAGACAAAUUGUGUGUGUGUGUGUGUGUUCCCCCCUCCCCCCACUCAAGUCUUCUGCUUGGUGUACGAGGAUGCUUGAGGUUUGCCCAAGCUGGAUCCCACCUUGUGGGUUCCAAGCGGUGUUGAACCACCGAAGGGCUGAACCCCAACAGCGGGCCUUGGGCACCCCUCUGAGACCAGACAGCAAAAGAACACAAUCCGUGUUGUGGGGGGGGGCUGUGCCAUGAAAAUCCACAGCCUGCCCUCCUCUCCCUACGGCCCGGCCGUCUGUCUCCAGGGUCUCCCAGGGAGGGGCCCGUUCUGGAGUUGUUCCUGUUCGGGUUUUCUUCAAGGACGGCUGGCUUCCCCUCAUCCUGGCAGCCUUUCCCCUGCGCAUGGCGUGAACAGAAGACCUCGCUGGAGAGGAAGACGAGAUGCCGCCCUUCCGAUUCAGGCCGAACGGCCGAAUGAGGACCAACUGCAGCCAGUGCGAGAAGACCCUGACCCUCCAGACGUCCGUGAAGGUGCUCGGCGUCUUUGUCAUCCUGCUGGUGGUGGCCGUGGUGGUCCUGGCGGCUUUGGUCUUUAAGAAGAUGGAUUCUAUCUCUGAUGAUGUGAACUCUGCCCAGGCAUACUACGAGAAGACGCUUGAGUCAGUUCAGGAGAACCUUCAAGAGCUGGGUAAGCGUGAGGCCAUCUCGAGUGCAUUUCACCUGUGUUCAGGUGGUGCUUUCUGAAACACGAGCCUGUCCAGGUGUUAAGAUCAUCAGGGCGUACCUUUCUGUCACAGCUAAAUUUGGUGGGGACACAGGAAAGAAGCCCUUCUCUGUGGCUGCUCCUUUAGACUCUGGAACUCCCUGCCACCGGAGGCCAGUCUGGCCCCAUCUUGGCCGUCCUUCUAUAAGCAGCUGAAAGACCUUUCUCUUCAGGCAAGCUUUCCUACGAUGACAAGCUCUCUAAAAUUUUUAAAUGAGAUCGGUUGCAUGUUGUUGCUUUUAAAUCUAUUUUCACAAUGCUUUUUUUUUUUUUAACCACAGAGAAGCUACAUGUUUAUAAAAACACUCAGCAUUAAGUAUAUGUAAAAGUUUACACAGUCGUAUGUGGUCUGGCAAGAAUGGCCGCAUUCAAGAACUUUGCCCCUUUGUUCAGUGUCUGGCUUUGUUAAAAGAGCUUUCCAGGGGAGAGAAUAAAUGAGCCAGACGCCUAAACGAGGAGAAGGAC